RNAcentral lists this ribosomal RNA (739 nucleotides) under uncultured bacterium. RNAcentral's name for it is "bacterial SSU rRNA". It matches the Rfam family "Bacterial small subunit ribosomal RNA", at positions 49 to 755 of the family's 1533-position model. The record is from RNAcentral.
CUAUACAUGCAAGUCGAGCGAGCCGAACUAAUUGAUUACCUUCGGGUAUGAAGUUAGGGAAGCGAGCGGCGGAUGGGUGAGUAACACGUGGGUAACCUACCCUAUAGUCUGGGAUACCACUUGGAAGCAGGUGCUAAUACCGGAUAAAAGGAGAGAUCACAUGAUUUCUUUUUGAAAGGCGGCGUAAGCUGUCGCUAAAGGAUGGACCCGCGGUGCAUUAGCUAGUUGGUAAGGUAACGGCUUACCAAGGCAACGAUGCAUAGCCGAGUUGAGAGACUGAUCGGCCACAUUGGGACUGAGACACGGCCCAAACUCCUACGGGAGGCAGCAGUAGGGAAUCUUCCACAAUGGACGCAAGUCUGAUGGAGCAACGCCGCGUGAGUGAAGAAGGUUUUCGGAUCGUAAAGCUCUGUUGUUGGUGAAGAAAGAUAGUGAGAGUAACUGCUCAUUAUUUGCCGGUAAUCAACCAGAAAGUCACGGCUAACUACGUGCCAGCAGCCGCGGUAAUACGUAGGUGGCAAGCGUUGUCCAGAUUUAUUGGGCGUAAAGCGAGCGCAGGCGGAAAGAUAAGUCAGAUGUGAAAGCCCUCGGCUUAACCGAGGAAUAGCAUCGGAAACUGUCUUUCUUGAGUGCAGAAGAGGAGAGUGGAACUCCAUGUGUAGCGGUGGAAUGCGUAGAUAUAUGGAAGAACACCAGUGGCGAAGGCGGCUCUCUGGUCUGUAACUGACGCUGAGGCUCG